RNAcentral lists this long non-coding RNA (133 nucleotides) under Parus major (Great Tit). RNAcentral's name for it is "lncRNA (ENSPMJG00000002562.1)". The record is from RNAcentral. Lineage: Eukaryota; Metazoa; Chordata; Aves; Passeriformes; Paridae.
GAAUUCGUCUCUGAGAUCCCCAAACAUUACCAACAAAUACAGGGAAUUGUCCCUGGUAACCCUAGAACUGAUGAAAACGGUGGAAUGGCAAUCCCAGAACCAAGAAAAUAAUGGAAUUCUCUCCUGGCAAUCC